AAGUCGUAACAAGGUUUCCGUUGGUGAACCAGCGGAAGGAUUAUUCAUGAAGGGUUUUAGCCCUCUCAUUAUUUCCUGUGCACUAUUUAUUUGUUUGGUAGCGAUUGGACCCAGAUUUUGGACCGUGGUCCUCAAUUAAAGGGAGAAUUAAAUUUUUGGUAUAGAUUCCUCAAAUCCAAACAAAGUGUUUUGCUUAGAUAGUUAAUCUUCGCAACUCACAUACUGUUUUUUAUAUAUUUGAAAAGUUUAAUUAAGACUUUUAGCAAGGGAUCUCUAGGCUCUCAAUUCGAUGAAGAACGCAGC
Molecule: unclassified non-coding RNA, 303 nt
Filed under: fungal sp.
Lineage: Eukaryota; Fungi
Description: partial internal transcribed spacer region
Rfam family: Eukaryotic small subunit ribosomal RNA (bases 1-46)
Source: RNAcentral